GGCCCCGUAGCUCAAUUGGCAGAGCAAGCGACUCUUAAUCGUUAGGUUAGGCGUUCGAUCCGCCUCGGGGUCACCA
RNAcentral lists this transfer RNA (76 nucleotides) under Chloroflexi bacterium RBG_19FT_COMBO_50_10. RNAcentral's name for it is "tRNA-Lys". It matches the Rfam family "tRNA". Rfam says of the family: Transfer RNA (tRNA) molecules are approximately 80 nucleotides in length. Their secondary structure includes four short double-helical elements and three loops (D, anti-codon, and T loops). Lineage: Bacteria; Bacillati; Chloroflexota. The record is from RNAcentral. RNAcentral also lists the same sequence under 2 other names.